UUAUUGAGGUAUCAUCUUCAGUUGUUGUGGUAUCAUCUUCUGUUGUUGUGGUAUCAUCUUCAGUUGUUGUGGUAUCAUCUUCAGUUGUUGUAGGGAUUGUUGUGGUAUCUGCUGGUGGAACUGAAGAGUUGCCAUUUAAACAAUCCUGCAUGUCUGCAGAAGCUUGACUGCUGUCCUGAACGUAAAUACGU
Molecule: long non-coding RNA, 191 nt
Organism: Teleopsis dalmanni
Lineage: Eukaryota; Metazoa; Arthropoda; Insecta; Diptera; Diopsidae
Exons: 2
Source: RefSeq, a predicted model, not a curated record